Molecule: ribosomal RNA, 395 nt
Filed under: uncultured bacterium
Lineage: Bacteria
Description: bacterial SSU rRNA
Rfam family: Bacterial small subunit ribosomal RNA
Source: RNAcentral
GUGUCAGCCGCCGCGGUAAUACGUAGGGGGCAAGCGUUGUCCGGAAUUACUGGGCGUAAAGGGCGUGUAGGUGGGUAAUUAAGUCAUGGGUGAAAACUGCGAGCUCAACUUGCAGACUGCCUAUGAAACUGGCUAUCUUGAGGGCAGGAGAGGAAAGUGGAAUUCCUAGUGUAGCGGUGAAAUGCGUAGAUAUUAGGAGGAACACCAGUGGCGAAGGCGACUUUCUGGACUGACCCUGACACUGAGGCGCGAAAGCUAGGGGAGCGAACGGGAUUAGAUACCCCGGUAGUCCUAGCCGUAAACGAUGGGUACUAGGUGUGGGAGGUAUCGACCCCUUCCGUGCCGGAGUUAACACAUUAAGUACCCCGCCUGGGGAGUACGGCCGCAAGGUUGAA